UACGGAGGGUGCAAGCGUUAUCCGGAUUUACUGGGUUUAAAGGGUGCGUAGGCGGGCCAUUAAGUCAGUGGUGAAAGCUCCGAGCUUAACUCGGAAACUGCCAUUGAUACUAGUGGUCUUGAAUUCGGUCGAGGUUGGCGGAAUGUGUCGUGUAGCGGUGAAAUGCUUAGAUAUGACACAGAACACCGAUUGCGAAGGCAGCUAGCUAGACCGACAUUGACGCUGAGGCACGAAAGCGUGGGGAUCAAACAGG
This 253-nucleotide ribosomal RNA is filed under the name uncultured bacterium. RNAcentral describes it as "partial 16S ribosomal RNA". It matches the Rfam family "Bacterial small subunit ribosomal RNA", at positions 524 to 776 of the family's 1533-position model. The record is from RNAcentral.